UGCUGGCCCUUGCCCAGUCUAACCAAUGUGCAGACUACUGUACAACGGCAUUGUCCUGAACAGGUAGUCUGAACACUGGGGCGACGGAGCAGGAUCUCCA
RNAcentral lists this microRNA precursor (100 nucleotides) under Cricetulus griseus (Chinese hamster). RNAcentral describes it as "mir-199". Lineage: Eukaryota; Metazoa; Chordata; Mammalia; Rodentia; Cricetidae. The record is from RNAcentral.